UACAGAGGGUGCGAGCGUGAAUCGGAUUUACUGGGCGUAAAGCGUGCGUAGGCGGCUUUUUAAGCCGGAUGUGAAAUCCCCGAGCUUAACUUGGGAAUUGCAUUCGAUACUGGGAAGCUAGAGUAUGGGAGAGGAUGGUAGCAUUCCAUGUGUAGCGGUGAAAUGUGUAGAGAUCUGGAGUAACACCGAUGGCGAAGGCAGCCAUCUGGCCUAAUGCUGACGCUGAGGUACGAAAGCAUGGGGAGCAAACAGG
Molecule: unclassified non-coding RNA, 253 nt
Filed under: uncultured Moraxellaceae bacterium
Lineage: Bacteria; Pseudomonadati; Pseudomonadota; Gammaproteobacteria; Moraxellales; Moraxellaceae
Description: contains 16S-23S intergenic spacer region
Rfam family: Bacterial small subunit ribosomal RNA
Source: RNAcentral